This is a long non-coding RNA of Pyrus x bretschneideri (Chinese white pear), 692 nucleotides long. RefSeq lists it as uncharacterized. The record is from RefSeq and is a predicted model, not a curated record. Lineage: Eukaryota; Viridiplantae; Streptophyta; Magnoliopsida; Rosales; Rosaceae. The transcript is spliced from 2 exons.
UUAAGAACAAAUACAGGGCGUAGUGGAAAAAUAAUUUUCUUUUAAUGUAGUGGGCGAGGCAAAUGACCUUUUAUCAAAAAAUAAAAAAUAAAAAUAUAAACUCCGAAGAGAACAGUGCGCUUGGGCCUUCAGUAAUCGUGACUUUAGCAGUCUCGACGACUGUCUCACGAAAUUCACCACCGCCGGUACGCCGCCGUGGUUGCUUGUCAGAGCACCAAAACGUCCAGAGCCAAAGCCCGCACCUUCUCGCUGACGCUCUCACCGGUUAUGCGAGGCAAGUCUAACUGUUUGUGAAAAGUUGCGAGUGGCAGGUGGGUUGGAGACUUUCGAGUUCCAAGUUCAUUUUUUUAGAUGAAUUAUGGGGCUGAGGUGUAGUGGUAGGCACCGAGGGUAAGGGGGAAGAUGCUUGAUCGGUUAAGUCGGCUGUUGCUUUUGCACUGCUGCUCCAAGGCCGUGGCUAUUUGUAGGUUUGAGCAAUCCCCGCGAUAAGUACAAAGGAACUAGGCUCAAUGUACCAUUCCAGAUUAUACAUUUAGUGGCUACAAUUUGAGAUUUUUAGUUUUCAUGUUUGUUGUUUCGAUAACAAGUUUCAGAUUCUCCUUUUUUUUGUUUGAAGCAGGCGAGGUUUCAGAUGAUUGAUGCUUUUGCUGGUUCGCAAGGCAUUGCAAUGAACACGGUCCAAUGCAAAGCUA